UCGUUUAGAUUGAAGGAGCUUGCUCCUGAUUGAUAAACAUUUGAGUGAGUGGCGGACGGGUGAGUAACACGUGGGUAACCUGCCCUAAAGUGGGGGAUAACAUUUGGAAACAGAUGCUAAUACCGCAUAAAACCUAACACCGCAUGGUGUAGGGUUGAAAGAUGGUUUCGGCUAUCACUUUAGGAUGGACCCGCGGUGCAUUAGUUAGUUGGUGAGGUAAAGGCUCACCAAGACCGUGAUGCAUAGCCGACCUGAGAGGGUAAUCGGCCACACUGGGACUGAGACACGGCCCAGACUCCUACGGGAGGCAGCAGUAGGGAAUCUUCCACAAUGGACGAAAGUCUGAUGGAGCAACGCCGCGCGAGUGAAGAAGGUUUUCGGAUCGUAAAACUCUGUUGUUGGAGAAGAAUGUAUCUGAUAGUAACUGAUCAGGUAGUGACGGUAUCCAACCAGAAAGCCACGGCUAACUACGUGCCAGCAGCCGCGGUAAUACGUAGGUGGCAAGCGUUGUCCGGAUUUAUUGGGC
RNAcentral lists this ribosomal RNA (526 nucleotides) under uncultured Lactobacillus sp. Its description in RNAcentral is "bacterial SSU rRNA". It matches the Rfam family "Bacterial small subunit ribosomal RNA", at positions 57 to 559 of the family's 1533-position model. Lineage: Bacteria; Bacillati; Bacillota; Bacilli; Lactobacillales; Lactobacillaceae. The record is from RNAcentral.